RNAcentral lists this ribosomal RNA (430 nucleotides) under uncultured bacterium. Its description in RNAcentral is "bacterial SSU rRNA". It matches the Rfam family "Bacterial small subunit ribosomal RNA", at positions 346 to 793 of the family's 1533-position model. The record is from RNAcentral.
AGGCAGCAGUGGGGAAUAUUGGACAAUGGGCGAAAGCCUGAUCCAGCCAUGCCGCGUGAGUGAUGAAGGCCCUAGGGUUGUAAAGCUCUUUUGUGCGGGAAGAUAAUGACGGUACCGCAAGAAUAAGCCCCGGCUAACUUCGUGCCAGCAGCCGCGGUAAUACGAAGGGGGCUAGCGUUGCUCGGAAUCACUGGGCGUAAAGGGUGCGUAGGCGGGUUUUUAAGUCAGGGGUGAAAUCCUGGAGCUCAACUCCAGAACUGCCUUUGAUACUGAGAAUCUUGAGUACGGGAGAGGUGAGUGGAACUGCGAGUGUAGAGGUGAAAUUCGUAGAUAUUCGCAAGAACACCAGUGGCGAAGGCGGCUCACUGGCCCGUUACUGACGCUGAGGCACGAAAGCGUGGGGAGCAAACAGGAUUAGAUACCCUGGUAG